This 443-nucleotide ribosomal RNA is filed under the name uncultured bacterium. Its description in RNAcentral is "partial 16S ribosomal RNA". It matches the Rfam family "Bacterial small subunit ribosomal RNA", at positions 338 to 795 of the family's 1533-position model. The record is from RNAcentral.
CCUACGGGAGGCAGCAGUGGGGAAUAUUGGGCAAUGGAGGAAACUCUGACCCAGCAACGUCGCGUGCAUGAUGAAGGUCCUCGGAUUGUAAAGUUCCUUUCUAAGGGAAGAAGCAAGUGACGGUACCUUAGGAAUAAGCCUCGGCUAACUACGGGCCAGCAGCCGCGGCAAUACGUAGGAGGCGGGCGUUAUCCGGAAUGACUGGGCGUAAAGGGUGCGUAGGUGGUUUGGCAAGUGAGCCGGGAAACUCCAAGGCUCAACCUUGGAACUACUACUAAAACUGUUGGACUUGAGUGCAGGAGAGGCAAGCGGAAUUCCUAGUGUAGCGGUGAAAUGCGUAGAUAUUAGGAAGAACACCGGUGGCGAAGGCGGGUUGCUAGACUGUAACUGACACUGAGGCACGAAAGCGUGGGGAGCAAACAGGAUUAGAUACCCCGGUAGUC